This 894-nucleotide ribosomal RNA is filed under the name Niesslia sp. 'griseo-ochraceum'. RNAcentral's name for it is "LSU rRNA". It matches the Rfam family "Eukaryotic large subunit ribosomal RNA", at positions 38 to 964 of the family's 3401-position model. Lineage: Eukaryota; Fungi; Ascomycota; Sordariomycetes; Hypocreales; Niessliaceae. The record is from RNAcentral.
GCAUAUCAAUAAGCGGAGGAAAAGAAACCAACAGGGAUUGCCCCAGUAACGGCGAGUGAAGCGGCAACAGCUCAAAUUUGAAAUCUGGCCUCACGGCCCGAGUUGUAAUUUGCAGAGGAUGCUUUUGGCGCGGCGCCUUCCGAGUGCCCUGGAACGGGACGCCAUAGAGGGUGAGAGCCCCGUCUGGUUGGAUGCCUAGCCUCUGUAAAGCUCCUUCGACGAGUCGAGUAGUUUGGGAAUGCUGCUCAAAAUGGGAGGUAUAUGUCUUCUAAAGCUAAAUAUUGGCCAGAGACCGAUAGCGCACAAGUAGAGUGAUCGAAAGAUGAAAAGCACUUUGAAAAGAGGGUUAAAUAGUACGUGAAAUUGUUGAAAGGGAAGCGCUUGUGACCAGACUUGGGCUUGGUGAAUCAUCCGGCGUUCUCGCCGGUGCACUUUGCCUGUCCAGGCCAGCAUCAGUUCGCUCCGGGGGAUAAAGGCGUGGGGAAUGUGGCUCCUCCGGGAGUGUUAUAGCCCCGCGUGUAAUACCCUGUGGCGGACUGAGGUUCGCGCUCCGCAAGGAUGCUGGCGUAAUGGUCAUCAGCGACCCGUCUUGAAACACGGACCAAGGAGUCGUCUUCGUAUGCGAGUGUUCGGGUGUCAAACCCCUACGCGUAAUGAAAGUGAACGCAGGUGAGAGCUUCGGCGCAUCAUCGACCGAUCCUGAUGUUCUCGGAUGGAUUUGAGUAAGAGCAUACGGGGCCGGACCCGAAAGAAGGUGAACUAUGCCUGUAUAGGGUGAAGCCAGAGGAAACUCUGGUGGAGGCUCGCAGCGGUUCUGACGUGCAAAUCGAUCGUCAAAUAUGGGCAUGGGGGCGAAAGACUAAUCGAACCUUCUAGUAGCUGGGUUUCCGCCGA